UACGGGGGGGUAAGCGUUGUUCGGAAUUACUGGGCGUAAAGGGCUCGUAGGCGGCCAACUAAGUCAGACGUGAAAUCCCUCGGCUUAACCGGGGAACUGCGUCUGAUACUGGAUGGCUUGAGUUUGGGAGAGGGAUGCGGAAUUCCAGGUGUAGCGGUGAAAUGCGUAGAUAUCUGGAGGAACACCGGUGGCGAAGGCGGCAUCCUGGACCGGUAUUGACGCUGAGGCGCGAAAGCCAGGGGAGCAAACGGG
RNAcentral lists this ribosomal RNA (252 nucleotides) under uncultured bacterium. Its description in RNAcentral is "partial 16S ribosomal RNA". It matches the Rfam family "Bacterial small subunit ribosomal RNA", at positions 524 to 776 of the family's 1533-position model. The record is from RNAcentral.